GGUGGGGUUCCCGAGCGGCCAAAGGGAGCAGACUGUAAAUCUGCCGUCAUCGACUUCGAAGGUUCGAAUCCUUCCCCCACCC
Molecule: transfer RNA, 82 nt
Filed under: Escherichia coli
Lineage: Bacteria; Pseudomonadati; Pseudomonadota; Gammaproteobacteria; Enterobacterales; Enterobacteriaceae
Description: tRNA-Tyr(gta)
Rfam family: tRNA
About the family: Transfer RNA (tRNA) molecules are approximately 80 nucleotides in length. Their secondary structure includes four short double-helical elements and three loops (D, anti-codon, and T loops). Further hydrogen bonds mediate the characteristic L-shaped molecular structure. tRNAs have two regions of fundamental functional importance: the anti-codon, which is responsible for specific mRNA codon recognition, and the 3' end, to which the tRNAs corresponding amino acid is attached (by aminoacyl-tRNA synthetases). tRNAs cope with the degeneracy of the genetic code in two manners: having more than one tRNA (with a specific anti-codon) for a particular amino acid; and 'wobble' base-pairing, i.e. permitting non-standard base-pairing at the 3rd anti-codon position.
Source: RNAcentral